Molecule: ribosomal RNA, 301 nt
Filed under: uncultured bacterium
Lineage: Bacteria
Description: partial 16S ribosomal RNA
Rfam family: Bacterial small subunit ribosomal RNA
Source: RNAcentral
CAGCCGCCGCGGUAAUACGAAGGGGGCUAGCGUUGUUCGGAAUUACUGGGCGUAAAGCGUACGUAGGCGGACUGUUAAGUGAGGGGUGAAAUCCCGAGGCUCAACCUCGGAACUGCCUUUCAUACUGGCAAUCUUGAGUCCGGGAGAGGUGAGUGGAACUCCUAGUGUAGAGGUGAAAUUCGUAGAUAUUAGGAAGAACACCAGUGGCGAAGGCGGCUCACUGGCCCGGAACUGACGCUAAGGUACGAAAGCGUGGGGAGCAAACAGGAUUAGAUACCCCAGUAGUCCCUGUCUCUUAUAC